This 422-nucleotide ribosomal RNA is filed under the name uncultured archaeon. Its description in RNAcentral is "partial 16S ribosomal RNA". It matches the Rfam family "Archaeal small subunit ribosomal RNA", at positions 323 to 746 of the family's 1478-position model. The record is from RNAcentral.
CUACGGGAGGCAGCAGGCGAGAAAACUUUGCAAUGUGCGAAAGCACGACAAGGUUAAUCCGAGUGGUUUCUGCUAAAGGAACCUUUUGUCGGUCCUAGAAACACCGAUGAAUAAGGGGUGGGCAAGUUCUGGUGUCAGCCGCCGCGGUAAAACCAGCACCUCAAGUGGUCAGGAUGAUUAUUGGGCCUAAAGCAUCCGUAGCCGGCUCUGUAAGUUUUCGGUUAAAUCUGUACGCUUAACGUACAGGCUGCCGGGAAUACUGCAUAGCUAGGGAGUGGGAGAGGUAGACGGUACUCGGUAGGAAGGGGUAAAAUCCUUUGAUCUAUUGAUGACCACCUGUGGCGAAGGCGGUCUACCAGAACACGUCCGACGGUGAGAGAUGAAAGCUGGGGGAGCAAACCGGAUUAGAUACCCUUGUAGUC